RNAcentral lists this ribosomal RNA (253 nucleotides) under uncultured bacterium. RNAcentral describes it as "partial 16S ribosomal RNA". It matches the Rfam family "Bacterial small subunit ribosomal RNA", at positions 524 to 776 of the family's 1533-position model. The record is from RNAcentral.
UACAGAGGGGGCAAGCGUUGUUCGGAAUUACUGGGCGUAAAGGGCGCGUAGGCGGCCUGUUAAGUCGAACGUGAAAUCCCUGGGCUCAACCCCGGAACUGCAUUUGAUACUGCCUUGCUCGAGUACUGGAGAGGAGACUGGAAUUUACGGUGUAGCAGUGAAAUGCGUAGAUAUCGUAAGGAAGACCAGUGGCGAAGGCGAGUCUCUGGACAGUUACUGACACUGAGGCACGAAGGCCAGGGGAGCAAACGGG